RNAcentral lists this long non-coding RNA (1043 nucleotides) under Coturnix japonica (Japanese quail). Its description in RNAcentral is "lncRNA (ENSCJPG00005016992.1)". Lineage: Eukaryota; Metazoa; Chordata; Aves; Galliformes; Phasianidae. The record is from RNAcentral.
AAGGGUUUUAAGUUGCAUAAGUAGAUGCUUCUGCAUACUCAGAAAAGAAAAUGCAAUCUGCAAAAAAUAAUCUUUAAAUUUGUUGAAUUCUUUUGAAGGGUGACUGUUAAAUUUUACAGGUAAAGGAAAGAUACUUUGGAUUAAACAAUAUCAAGGUCCUUUAAAGUUUUGCCAGCAGCAGAGAUGAGGGAAGUAAUUUGGGCUUAGAGACAUACACAAUAUUAUAAUAUAAUCAAAAGAAGAGUGACACUUCAGACUGUAACAUUAUUUCACUGAAUAAAACUUUGUUAACUUGGCUUAGGAUAUGACUCAUAUAGCAUCAAAGACAGAUAUGAAAGAAGAGAAAACAAAAAAAAAAAAAAAAAGAUGGUAAAGGAAAAGAAUAUAUCUAAAUGUAAGUAAAUUUGUAUAUGAUUCUCUAUCUUAGCUUUAUUGAAGUAAUAAUCUUUAUCCUGAGACAGGAUUAAGACCAUUUCUGUUUUCUUUAUCUAUUUAUUUAUUUAGUCUGAUUUGGGCCCUAAUAAAAGAUUAGCUAAAUGAUAAUCAGACAUGGUGCAGUGGUACACUGUAUCAUAAUGUGUCUGUAGUAACCAUUAACAGCUCUAUCAUUAACAAUUGUCUACUGUCUGUCUGAAAUAUUUAAGAGUGGGAAUCACCUUACUCUAACUGCCUGAAAUUUAGAUGUCUACAUUAGUCAAUCAUUUGGGCUCCUUUCAUAGACACGUUUAGAGGGUGAUUCAUCCCCUACUAAUAUAAACUGGGUGAAUCAUGCCCUAGAUACUCUCUUUACUUCCUGAGAACUAUGCUCUUCCUAUGAAGAAACAAAAAACAACCACGUGAACUCUGUUUCCAGUUCCAGCUAAUAAACAUAACUGAAAUCCCAAGCAUCAGUUAUGUGUAAAAAACUGCUGCACAUGAUCUAUGGACUGAAAGGGCUGCCAUUCAGCAAUUAUCAGCCCUGUGACACUACAGGCUCAAACUACAGGCAUUGUAAGUUUUCUGCUUGCCCUCCAACCAUCCCUACCUAUUGCCCAUCUACACUG